AGACACGGCCCAGACUCCUACGGGAGGCAGCAGUAGGGAAUCUUCGGCAAUGGACGAAAGUCUGACCGAGCAACGCCGCGUGAAUGAAGAAGGCUUUCGGGUCGUAAAAUUCUGUUAUAAGGGAAGAAAAGUUAGAGUAGGAAAUGGCUCUAAAGUGACGGUACCUUAUGAGAAAGCCACGGCUAACUACGUGCCAGCAGCCGCGGUAAUACGUAGGUGGCAAGCGUUAUCCGGAAUUAUUGGGCGUAAAGAGCGCGUAGGUGGUUGAUUAAGUCUGAUGUGAAAGCCCACGGCUUAACCGUGGAGGGUCAUUGGAAACUGGUCAACUUGAGUGCAGAAGAGGGAAGUGGAAUUCCAUGUGUAGCGGUGAAAUGCGUAGAGAUAUGGAGGAACACCAGUGGCGAAGGCGGCUUCCUGGUCUGUAACUGACACUGAGGCGCGAAAGCGUGGGGAGCAAACAGGAUUAGAUACCCUGGUAGUCCACGCCGUAAACGAUGAGUGCUAAGUGUUGGGGGUCGAACCUCAGUGCUGAAGUUAACGCAUUAAGCACUCCGCCUGGGGAGUACGGUCGCAAGACUG
RNAcentral lists this ribosomal RNA (579 nucleotides) under uncultured bacterium. RNAcentral describes it as "bacterial SSU rRNA". It matches the Rfam family "Bacterial small subunit ribosomal RNA", at positions 322 to 896 of the family's 1533-position model. The record is from RNAcentral.